Molecule: ribosomal RNA, 910 nt
Filed under: Aspergillus terreus var. terreus
Lineage: Eukaryota; Fungi; Ascomycota; Eurotiomycetes; Eurotiales; Aspergillaceae
Description: LSU rRNA
Rfam family: Eukaryotic large subunit ribosomal RNA
Source: RNAcentral
GCAUAUCAAUAAGCGGAGGAAAAGAAACCAACCGGGAUUGCCUCAGUAACGGCGAAGUGAAGCGGCAAGAGCUCAAAUUUGAAAGCUGGCUCCUUCGGGGUCCGCAUUGUAAUUUGCAGAGGAUGCUUCGGGUGCAGCCCCCGUCUAAGUGCCCUGGAACGGGCCGUCAUAGAGGGUGAGAAUCCCGUAUGGGGCGGGGUGUCUGCGUCCGUGUGAAGCUCCUUCGACGAGUCGAGUUGUUUGGGAAUGCAGCUCUAAAUGGGUGGUAAAUUUCAUCUAAAGCUAAAUACUGGCCGGAGACCGAUAGCGCACAAGUAGAGUGAUCGAAAGAUGAAAAGCACUUUGAAAAGAGAGUUAAACAGCACGUGAAAUUGUUGAAAGGGAAGCGCUUGCAACCAGACUCGCUCGCGGGGUUCAGCCGGGCUUCGGCCCGGUGUACUUCCCCGCGGGCGGGCCAGCGUCGGUUUGGGCGGCCGGUCAAAGGCCUCCGGAAUGUAGCGCCCUUCGGGGCGCCUUAUAGCCGGGGGUGCAAUGCGGCCAGCCUGGACCGAGGAACGCGCUUCGGCACGGACGCUGGCAUAAUGGUUGUAAACGACCCGUCUUGAAACACGGACCAAGGAGUCUAACAUCUACGCGAGUGUUCGGGUGUCAAACCCGUACGCGCAGUGAAAGCGAACGGAGGUGGGAGCCCCCUCGCGGGGCGCACCAUCGACCGAUCCUGAUGUCUUCGGAUGGAUUUGAGUACGAGCGUAGCUGUGGGGACCCGAAAGAUGGUGAACUAUGCCUGAAUAGGGCGAAGCCAGAGGAAACUCUGGUGGAGGCUCGCAGCGGUUCUGACGUGCAAAUCGAUCGUCAAAUUUGGGUAUAGGGGGCGAAAGACUAAUCGAACCAUCUGGUAGCUGGUUCCUGC